CAGACCGCAUCUGAGGAAAUUAAUGGCAUAAGAGACGAGAAACUGUUUCAACUAAAACUCGAAAUGUUUUAUUCUUAGUUAACUUGACUCCUUCCAUGUUGUGAGGAUCAAAACGAUUCCCACAAAGAGAAAGUGUUCAUGCAAUACAAGAAAAGGAAUAUUCAGGUGAAAUAAUGUACAUUAUAAGUGCAGAAAAUCUUUGUCAGAAAUUCACCAUUUGGGGUAAGUUUAUUCAACGGUACAUAUUCUUGUUGUGUUACCAUGGUGUGUUUUAUUCAUCUAUUGUGUCAGGUUGAAUAUGUAGCUGUGAAAACAGCUAUGUGUCAAGAAUGAACUUUACCGAGGAUUGGAAUCACUCAACAGUUUUUGCACUCAAAUGAGCUGCAUUUGUAGGCUCUGUUCACAGAAGGUUCUAGUCAUGCUGCCAGAUGAUUAUCCAGUGAAAAAAGCCACUGAUUGAAAUGAAAUUGGGGUUGUGCACAUGCUCAACUUGUAAUUACUAUGUGACAAAACAUGGGGUCAAAUCCAACUGUUAUAUAACUAAAGUUUGGGAACUGGGUCAGACUGACUCUCACCAAGCUGUAAAAAAAACUGACAAAAAAUAUGAGAUAUGAGAAAUUUGUGGAGAUAAAAACUGGGGAAUUUUGCUAGAAAGUUCGCAUAAACAUAACUGAAAGAUUUGCUGAUAUCAAGAGCAAUAAUGUUUCUUUUGCCAAUAUUAGACUGUUGAGAGACCACUGGAGUGUCAC
Molecule: long non-coding RNA, 749 nt
Organism: Octopus sinensis (East Asian common octopus)
Lineage: Eukaryota; Metazoa; Mollusca; Cephalopoda; Octopoda; Octopodidae
Exons: 3
Source: RefSeq, a predicted model, not a curated record